RNAcentral lists this transfer RNA (72 nucleotides) under Loxodonta africana (African savanna elephant). It matches the Rfam family "tRNA". From Rfam's summary of the family: Transfer RNA (tRNA) molecules are approximately 80 nucleotides in length. The record is from Rfam by way of RNAcentral. Lineage: Eukaryota; Metazoa; Chordata; Mammalia; Proboscidea; Elephantidae.
CCCUGUGUGGUACAAAGGCUAAGUGCUCAGCUACUAACUGAAAGAUUGGUGGUUCAAAUCCACCCAGAGGCA